GAUGAACGCUAGCGGCGUGCCUAACGCAUGCAAGUCGAACGGGAAACCUGCCUUCGGGCGGGUGGAGAGUGGCGAACGGGUGAGUAACACGUAGGUGACCUGCCCUAGAGAGGGGGAUAACCAGUGGAAACGCUGGCUAAUACCCCGGAUGUCAUACUGCUUAGACAGGUAUGACUAAAGCUUUGGAAGCGCUCUAGGAGGGGCCUGCGGUCCAUCAGCUAGUUGGUGAGGUAAUGGCUCACCAAGGCGAAGACGGAUAGGGGGCGUGAGAGCGCGACCCCCCACACUGGUACUGAUACACGGACCAGAUACCUACGGGUAGCAGCAGCGAGGAAUAUUGCGCAAUGGACGCCAGUCUGACGCAGCAACGCCGCGUGGAGGAUGAAGGUCUUCGGAUCGUAAACUUCUUUUCUGAGAGAAGAGAAAGGACGGUAUCUCAGGAAUAAGGCCCGGCUAACUACGUG
Molecule: ribosomal RNA, 464 nt
Filed under: uncultured Chloroflexota bacterium
Lineage: Bacteria; Bacillati; Chloroflexota
Description: bacterial SSU rRNA
Rfam family: Bacterial small subunit ribosomal RNA
Source: RNAcentral